This 73-nucleotide transfer RNA is filed under the name Mus musculus (house mouse). It matches the Rfam family "tRNA". Rfam says of the family: Transfer RNA (tRNA) molecules are approximately 80 nucleotides in length. Their secondary structure includes four short double-helical elements and three loops (D, anti-codon, and T loops). RNAcentral also lists the same sequence under 1 other name. The record is from Rfam by way of RNAcentral. Lineage: Eukaryota; Metazoa; Chordata; Mammalia; Rodentia; Muridae.
GGGGGUGAAGCUCAGUUGGUAGGGUGCUUGCCUCAUAUGCUUGAAGCCCUGGUUUCAAUCCCUGGCACCAUCA